This 567-nucleotide small RNA is filed under the name Pongo abelii (Sumatran orangutan). RNAcentral's name for it is "processed transcript". Lineage: Eukaryota; Metazoa; Chordata; Mammalia; Primates; Hominidae. The record is from RNAcentral.
ACACCACCCACACACACCACCACGCCCUGUCCCCUUUCUCCACCCUGCAAGCUAGUUGCAUUUACCUCACAGAGCCUGGGCUGCGACUUGAAAGACUUUAGGCAGCAACAGAGUGACCCUGGGGGUGCUCUUGACCGACAGCCGCACCUCCGGCGUCUAGGACCUCCGAGCAGGGAUGCAUCUGGGGGUCUAGGGAAGCACUUCCACCCCCUCCUCUCCUCAACCCUGGCAGGAUGGUGAGUAGUUAACAUCCCCUCCCCAACCCCCCCUUGUUCAGGGUCCCCAGACUUCCAAGCAGAUUGAGGAGAGGAGCUUCGAGAGCCAACCCUCCAGCCUGUAAGGACCUUGAUAUCCAAAGGACAGCUGAAGAAAGUAAUGUGCCUGCAUUUUUGCCACUUCAUUCCCACAGUGCCCGAAAUGCCAGCUCCUCCUUGGUGUUCUCCUUUCAAGAUUUGAAUUCAAAUCCCAUAUUGGCAGCCCUGAUACCGCUGGGGGAAGGGUGAGGCUACCGCUGCUUCAAGACAGUGACGUUUCUCUCCGGUCAGCUGUCAGGAGCGCUGAUGAGCU